AUUGAACGCUGGCGGCAGGCCUAACACAUGCAAGUCGAGCGGUUGACGGGAGCUUGCUCCCUGAUUCAGCGGCGGACGGGUGAGUAAUGCCUAGGAAUCUGCCUAUUAGUGGGGGACAACGUUUCGAAAGGAACGCUAAUACCGCAUACGUCCUACGAGAGAAAGCAGGGGACCUUCGGGCCUUGCGCUAAUAGAUGAGCCUAGGUCGGAAUAGCUUGUUGGUGAGGUAAUGGCUCACCAAGGCGACGAUCCGUAACUGGUCUGAGAGGAUGAUCAGUCACACUGGAACUGAGACACGGACCAGACUCCUACGGGAGGCAGCAGUGGAGAAUAUUGGACAAUGGGCGAAAGCCUGAUCCAGCCAUGCCGCGUGUGUGAAGAAGGUCUUCGGAUUGUAAAGCACUUUAAGUUGGGAGGAAGGGUUGUAGAUUAAUACUCUGCAAUUUUGACGUUACCGACAGAAUAAGCACCGGCUAACUCUGUGCCAGCCGCCGCCGUAA
This 500-nucleotide ribosomal RNA is filed under the name uncultured bacterium. RNAcentral describes it as "partial 16S ribosomal RNA". It matches the Rfam family "Bacterial small subunit ribosomal RNA", at positions 30 to 523 of the family's 1533-position model. The record is from RNAcentral.